Molecule: ribosomal RNA, 487 nt
Filed under: uncultured bacterium
Lineage: Bacteria
Description: bacterial SSU rRNA
Rfam family: Bacterial small subunit ribosomal RNA
Source: RNAcentral
AGAGAACGCUGGCGGCGUGGAUUAGGCAUGCAAGUCGAACGGUAUCAUCCUUUCGGGGGUGAGAGAGUGGCGAACUGGUGAGUAACACGUAGGUUAUCUACCCUCAAGACGGGACAACCCAGGGAAACUUGGGCUAAUACCGGAUGUGAGCAACUUUUAGUUGUUUGAAAGGUGGCGUAAGCUGUCGCUUGGGGAUGAGCCUGCGUCCUAUUAGUUAGUUGGUGAGGUAACGGCUCACCUAGGCAAUGAUAGGUAGGCGGCCUUAACGGGUGGUCGCCCACACUGGGAUUGAGAUACGGCCCAGACUCCUACGGGAGGCAGCAGUCGAGAAUAGUCUACAAUGGUCGGAAGACUGAUAGUGCGACGCCGCGUGAACGAUGAAUCCCUUCGGGGUGUAAAGUUCUUUUAUAUGUGAGCAGUGCUUCUUAUAUUAACAGUAUGGGGAGAGAGAUAUUAGCAUAUGAAUAAGCAACGGCUAACGUCCGUG